Colinus virginianus (northern bobwhite) is the source of this 88-nucleotide non-coding RNA. Lineage: Eukaryota; Metazoa; Chordata; Aves; Galliformes; Odontophoridae. The record is from Rfam.
GUGUGACCUGUGGGCUUCCCUUUGUCAUCCUAUGCCUGGAGAUCACAGUGAGGCAGGGACAGCAAAGGGAUGCUCAGCUGUCGUCUCU